UUUAGCCGUAACACAAUACUCAAAAAGUGCUUGCUAGUCAUUAGAUGCUAGUCACAAAGCUCCGGUCCGUGCACUCUGUCAUACGAGUAUGUUACCGGCAAUG
Molecule: long non-coding RNA, 103 nt
Organism: Sander lucioperca (pikeperch)
Lineage: Eukaryota; Metazoa; Chordata; Actinopteri; Perciformes; Percidae
Exons: 3
Source: RefSeq, a predicted model, not a curated record